UGGGGAAUAUUGGGCAAUGGGCGCAAGCCUGACCCAGCAACGCCGCGUGAAGGAAGAAGGCUUUCGGGUUGUAAACUUCUUUUCUGGGGGACGAAGAAAGUGACGGUACCCCAGGAAUAAGCCACGGCUAACUACGUGCCAGCAGCCGCGGUAAUACGUAGGUGGCAAGCGUUAUCCGGAUUUAUUGGGUGUAAAGGGCGUGUAGGCGGGAAUGCAAGUCAGAUGUGAAAACUAUGGGCUCAACCCAUAGCCUGCAUUUGAAACUGUAUUUCUUGAGUGCUGGAGAGGCAAUCGGAAUUCCGUGUGUAGCGGUGAAAUGCGUAGAUAUACGGAGGAACACCAGUGGCGAAGGCGGAUUGCUGGACAGUAACUGACGCUGAGGCGCGAAAAGCGUGGGGAGCAAACAGGAUUAGAUACCC
RNAcentral lists this ribosomal RNA (419 nucleotides) under uncultured bacterium. Its description in RNAcentral is "bacterial SSU rRNA". It matches the Rfam family "Bacterial small subunit ribosomal RNA", at positions 355 to 787 of the family's 1533-position model. The record is from RNAcentral.